This 427-nucleotide ribosomal RNA is filed under the name uncultured Wolbachia sp. Its description in RNAcentral is "bacterial SSU rRNA". It matches the Rfam family "Bacterial small subunit ribosomal RNA", at positions 1003 to 1428 of the family's 1533-position model. The record is from RNAcentral. Lineage: Bacteria; Pseudomonadati; Pseudomonadota; Alphaproteobacteria; Rickettsiales; Anaplasmataceae.
CAAGGGAUAGGGUCGGUUCGGCCGGAUUUUACACAAGUGUUGCAUGGCUGUCGUCAGCUCGUGUCGUGAGAUGUUGGGUUAAGUCCCGCAACGAGCGCAACCCUCAUCCUUAGUUGCCAUCAGGUAAUGCUGAGUACUUUAAGGAAACUGCCAGUGAUAAGCUGGAGGAAGGUGGGGAUGAUGUCAAGUCAUCAUGGCCUUUAUGGAGUGGGCUACACACGUGCUACAAUGGUGUCUACAAUGGGCUGCAAGGUGCGCAAGCCUAAGCUAAUCCCUAAAAGACAUCUCAGUUCGGAUUGUACUCUGCAACUCGAGUACAUGAAGUUGGAAUCGCUAGUAAUCGUGGAUCAGCAUGCCACGGUGAAUACGUUCUCGGGUCUUGUACACACUGCCCGUCACGCCAUGGGAAUUGGUUUCACUCGAAGCU